This 540-nucleotide ribosomal RNA is filed under the name Ceratitis rosa (Natal fruit fly). Its description in RNAcentral is "partial 16S ribosomal RNA". The stretch from base 391 to 540 matches the Rfam family "Bacterial large subunit ribosomal RNA", at positions 2473 to 2622 of the family's 2925-position model. Lineage: Eukaryota; Metazoa; Arthropoda; Insecta; Diptera; Tephritidae. RNAcentral also lists the same sequence under 1 other name. The record is from RNAcentral.
GUCUUUUUGAGUUAUUUUUAAAGUCUGACCUGCCCACUGAAUAUUUUUAAAUGGCCGCAGUAUUCUAACUGUGCAAAGGUAGCAUAAUCAUUAGUCUUUUAAUUGAAGGCUGGUAUGAACGGUUGGACGAAGUAUAAGCUGUUUCAUAUAAAAUUAUAUUAGAAUUUUAUAUUUUAGUUAAAAAGCUAAAAUAUUAUUAAAAGACGAGAAGACCCUAUAAAUCUUUAUAUUUAAUAUUAUUCAAAUUUUUUUGAUUAAUUUUAUUUUUAUAAUAUUAAAUAUUUUGUUGGGGUGAUAUUAAAAUUUAACAAACUUUUAAUUUUGAAUUAGAACAUUAAUUUAUGAAUAGUUGAUCCAUUAUUAAUGAUUAUAAGAUUAAGUUACUUUAGGGAUAACAGCGUAAUUUUUUUUGAGAGUUCAUAUCGACAAAAAAGUUUGCGACCUCGAUGUUGGAUUAAGAUAUAUAUUUAGGUGUAGCCGUUUAAAUAUUAAGUCUGUUCGACUUUUAAAUUCUUACAUGAUCUGAGUUCAAACCGGAGA